RNAcentral lists this ribosomal RNA (561 nucleotides) under uncultured bacterium. RNAcentral's name for it is "bacterial SSU rRNA". It matches the Rfam family "Bacterial small subunit ribosomal RNA", at positions 942 to 1502 of the family's 1533-position model. The record is from RNAcentral.
UGGUUUUAAUUUGAUGCAACGCGAAGAACCUUACCUACUCUUGACAUCUACAGAAGCCAGCGGAGACGCAGGUGUGCCUUCGGGAACUGUAAGACAGGUGCUGCAUGGCUGUCGUCAGCUCGUGUUGUGAAAUGUUGGGUUAAGUCCCGCAACGAGCGCAACCCUUAUCCUUGUUUGCCAGCACUUCGGGUGGGAACUCCAGGGAGACUGCCGGUGAUAAACCGGAGGAAGGUGGGGACGACGUCAAGUCAUCAUGGCCCUUACGAGUAGGGCUACACACGUGCUACAAUGGCGCAUACAGAGGGCGGCCAACUUGCGAAAGUGAGCGAAUCCCAAAAAGUGCGUCGUAGUCCGGAUUGGAGUCUGCAACUCGACUCCAUGAAGUCGGAAUCGCUAGUAAUCGUGGAUCAGAAUGCCACGGUGAAUACGUUCCCGGGCCUUGUACACACCGCCCGUCACACCAUGGGAGUGGGCUGCAAAAGAAGUGGGUAGUUUAACCUUCGGGAGGACGCUCACCACUUUGUGGUUCAUGACUGGGGUGAAGUCGUAACAAGGUAACCG